UACGUAGGCAGCGAGCGUUGUUCGGAGUUACUGGGCGUAAAGCGUGCGUAGGCGGUGUCUUAAGUUUGUUGUGAAAUCUCCCGGCUCAACUGGGAGGGUGCGGCGAAUACUGAGAUGCUGGAGUGCGGGAGAGGUAAGCGGAAUUCCAGGUGUAGCGGUGAAAUGCGUAGAUAUCUGGAGGAAUACCGGUGGCGAAGGCGGCAUCCUGGACCGACAUUGACGCUGAUGCGCGAAAGCCAGGGGA
This 244-nucleotide ribosomal RNA is filed under the name uncultured bacterium. RNAcentral's name for it is "partial 16S ribosomal RNA". It matches the Rfam family "Bacterial small subunit ribosomal RNA", at positions 524 to 767 of the family's 1533-position model. The record is from RNAcentral.